GACGGGGCUCCCGGCUCUGCACCUGCCUGCCGGUGCCGGGAGCACACCGGGCAGCGGGAACGGUGUCCGGGACACCCAGCAAUGUGUGAUUUCUGUGCUAGUGAAGUUUGGAAAUUGACUGAACAGAGACGCCGAGCUUGGAUAUCCCGAGUGUUCUGGACGGUUUUAGGCGUCGGGGGAUUGUCAGGUAGAUGCAAGACUGGGAAUUAGACUCUCGGUUACUUUUCCAAAUUCAGAACAGCUCCAUUCACGGACACUUUUUUAGGUUAGAUUAAAAAUAAAUUGAGAUCAGCAUGUACGUAUAGACUUGUACAGAAAUAACUGAAGCAGGGAGAACCAGUUUAGUCAAUUUCUGUAUCAAUCGUGUUUCAGGUCUUUGUUGUAACACCCUUUCCUCAUCGGUUAGUUAAAUUUUCACCCAAUUGCAACAAGUAACAAAUUUAAAAUAACAAAUAACGAAUAUUAAAAUAACAAGUAACAGCUACAUUCUUGUUGUGCAUUUCCUUUGGAUCAGUGAAGGCCUCUGCAGGUGAAGCAGCCUGGCACAGGGAUCUGUGUUCUGUAGCACAAAAUUUUCCGGACCAUUCGAAGCUGUGAGCAUGAAAAGCACACACCUGUACAGAAAGGUGCUGCUGGUUAGGGCACCCUGUGCCUGGCAGUGCCCGACCCUCCUGGUGCUGCUGCAGAGCUGUGCCAUGGCUGUGCUGAGCCCCUGGGCUGGCUGCACCCUCAUCGUGUCCCCUGCUCUGUCCUGGCUCCAGGCAAGGCAGCUGCUGCCAGCCUGGGGACCUCUGUGGGUGUAAAACCCAAACUUCUCAGUCGCAAACAGGCUAAAAGGUAAAAUGGUGAAGCUUCCUGGUUCAGUUAUUUUUUAAAAUUGAAGCUUGUAUUGAUGUUUAUGAAAUUUAUUAGGUUUUUUAGGCUCUUGAAUAUCACGCUGAGAGCUGUGAAAAUAGCAGCUCCAGUCUGAUAUUUGAGCACUGUGCUAUCAUUCUCCACUCUACAACAAGGUAUUUUAUUUAUCGCAGCAUCCCAGAGUGGUUUGAUAUCCCAUCCAUCCCUGCCCUGUGGCAGAGGAAGCCAU
RNAcentral lists this long non-coding RNA (1084 nucleotides) under Zonotrichia albicollis (white-throated sparrow). RNAcentral describes it as "lncRNA (ENSZALG00000010983.1)". Lineage: Eukaryota; Metazoa; Chordata; Aves; Passeriformes; Passerellidae. The record is from RNAcentral.